Long non-coding RNA from Dromaius novaehollandiae (emu), 635 nucleotides. RefSeq lists it as uncharacterized. The transcript has 4 exons. NCBI's taxonomy places the organism in Eukaryota, Metazoa, Chordata, Aves, Casuariiformes, Dromaiidae. The record is from RefSeq and is a predicted model, not a curated record.
AGGAGUAAGACCUGGCCAGCACUGCUGAGGUUGUCUCUGACUCAGAGGCACCCCCACCGAGCUGCCUCUGCUGGCAGCCUUCCAGGGAGAACCCUAUAGACUCCAGGGAGAACCCUGUAGACUCUAAAGUUGUCUGUAGCUGGUGGAAGCCCAGGAGAAUCAAUCAUGCUAUAAAGCAUUUUCCAGCCCAAGAAUUCAGCAGUCAGUUGGCGAGACAAAUGAGAAGGGAAAAUUUCAGGGUACUGAGAAGCAAAGUUUAAUAUCCAAAACUGAAAAGACUCCCAGAUGAAUAAAACAAGCCAGACACCCAUCAGACACAAACUCUGGCCCAUAACCUGCAGAGUUAAGGGGAAGUACGUGGAAGCUAAACCAAACAGCCUCAAACAAGAUCUGUGAAACUUCUCUGGUAUAUGAAUAUCCAUAGACUGAGAAGAGAAACAAAACCAGAAACAACACUUGAGAAAUGGAAUUCAAGGUCACACAAAACCAUGGCGUGAGGCUGAGAUGGUGAGAAAAGCACUGGAAGAGAAGUAUUGCAAUUUUAACGCCUCACUUUCAUUAGUGCUGAUUGCUCAUCAGUAGAAAUAUCCAUGACUGCUCUUCAAAUUCUGAGAUUCUUUCAGUUUCUAUGGCCA